CACAUCGUUGGAGUUCAGAGAGGAUGAGCGCGGAGGCACCUCAACAGCACGUGUGUUGAACUCAUUUGUUCCAUGGAUGUGAAACAGUCUUACUGAUGGUUGAGAAUGGGAGGAGCCUUCUCUGGAACUUCCUUCCUGUUAGUCAAUCACAACCAGUGAAGAGGAUCAACUUUUACAGUCUCUUUGGCUAAUGGAUCACUUUAAUGAGCAUCUUCAAAGUUAAAGGUCUUUUUCUGCAAUGGAAAGAGCGAGAGUAACUCAGGAGGAACUCACCUGCCACCGGAGGAAUCGAGAAGGAAGCAGCCAGACUGUCUCUAGGUGAACUUCAGCCUCCAGAAUGUGGCCGCUCCCCUCUCCUUCCUCAAACUCAUUAACCAGCCUCUGCCGCCUGGGGAGAAAGCAGUGAGCCGCCAGUGCUUCAGUUCUAACUCAACCCAUUCUC
Onychostoma macrolepis is the source of this 442-nucleotide long non-coding RNA. RefSeq lists it as uncharacterized. The transcript is spliced from 3 exons. Lineage: Eukaryota; Metazoa; Chordata; Actinopteri; Cypriniformes; Cyprinidae. The record is from RefSeq and is a predicted model, not a curated record.